This 273-nucleotide ribosomal RNA is filed under the name uncultured bacterium. RNAcentral's name for it is "partial 16S ribosomal RNA". It matches the Rfam family "Bacterial small subunit ribosomal RNA", at positions 80 to 353 of the family's 1533-position model. The record is from RNAcentral.
UAAGUUUGAUGGCGACCGGCGCACGGGUGAGUAACACGUAUCCAACCUGCCGAUGACUCGGGGAUAGCUUUUCGAAAGAAAGAUUAAUACCCGAUGGCAUAGUUCUUCCGCAUGGUAGAACUAUUAAAGAAUUUCGGUCAUCGAUGGGGAUGCGUUCCAUUAGGUUGUUGGCGGGUAACGGCCCACCAAGCCUUCGAUGGAUAGGGGUUCUGAGAGGAAGGUCCCCCACAUUGGAACUGAGACACGGUCCAAACUCCUACGGGAGGCAGCAUG